CUCUGUCUUUAUUGCGCAUCUAAAGAACAUGAAGUAAAAGACUGCCCUAACCUUACCAAGAUAAAAAGAGUGGGGCUCAAAAGAGAUUAUGUUGAAGGCACUCGUUGAUUCCGGUGCUUCAAGCAACUUUAUUGAUUUAGAUGUGGUGUAUAGGAAUGAAAUAGCAUUAAAGAAAAAACAAAAAUCA
Molecule: long non-coding RNA, 187 nt
Organism: Bombina bombina (fire-bellied toad)
Lineage: Eukaryota; Metazoa; Chordata; Amphibia; Anura; Bombinatoridae
Exons: 2
Source: RefSeq, a predicted model, not a curated record